UGCCUGGUAGUCUAGUGGCUAAGACUCUACGCUCCCAAAGCAGGGGCCCAGGUUCGAUCCCUGGCCAGGGAA
RNAcentral lists this transfer RNA (72 nucleotides) under Bos taurus (domestic cattle). It matches the Rfam family "tRNA". From Rfam's summary of the family: Transfer RNA (tRNA) molecules are approximately 80 nucleotides in length. Their secondary structure includes four short double-helical elements and three loops (D, anti-codon, and T loops). RNAcentral also lists the same sequence under 1 other name. The record is from Rfam by way of RNAcentral. Lineage: Eukaryota; Metazoa; Chordata; Mammalia; Artiodactyla; Bovidae.